RNAcentral lists this ribosomal RNA (519 nucleotides) under uncultured Variovorax sp. Its description in RNAcentral is "bacterial SSU rRNA". It matches the Rfam family "Bacterial small subunit ribosomal RNA", at positions 8 to 523 of the family's 1533-position model. Lineage: Bacteria; Pseudomonadati; Pseudomonadota; Betaproteobacteria; Burkholderiales; Comamonadaceae. The record is from RNAcentral.
AGAGUUUGAUUCUGGCUCAGAUUGAACGCUGGCGGCAUGCCUUACACAUGCAAGUCGAACGGCAGCGCGGGAGCAAUCCUGGCGGCGAGUGGCGAACGGGUGAGUAAUACAUCGGAACGUGCCCAAUCGUGGGGGAUAACGCAGCGAAAGCUGUGCUAAUACCGCAUAAGAUCUACGGAUGAAAGCAGGGGAUCGCAAGACCUUGCGCGAAUGGAGCGGCCGAUGGCAGAUUAGGUAGUUGGUGGGGUAAAGGCUCACCAAGCCAACGAUCUGUAGCUGGUCUGAGAGGACGACCAGCCACACUGGGACUGAGACACGGGCCCGACUCCUACGGGAGGCAGCAGUAAGGAAUAUUGGUCAAUGGACGCAAGUCUGAACCAGCCAUGCCGCGUGAAGGAUGAAGGUCUUCGGAUUGUAAACUCCUGUCAUUGGGGAACAAGGUGCAUACGUUAACUGCGUGUGCAUUGAUAGUACCCGAAGAGGAAGAGACGGCUAACUCUGUGCCAGCAGCCGCGGUAA